CGUAGGUAACCUGCCUGGUAGCGGGGGAUAACUAUUGGAAACGAUAGCUAAUACCGCAUAAGAGUAGAUGUUGCAUGACAUUUGCUUAAAAGGUGCAAUUGCAUCACUACCAGAUGGACCUGCGUUGUAUUAGCUAGUUGGUGAGGUAACGGCUCACCAAGGCGACGAUACAUAGCCGACCUGAGAGGGUGAUCGGCCACACUGGGACUGAGACACGGCCCAG
Molecule: ribosomal RNA, 223 nt
Filed under: uncultured bacterium
Lineage: Bacteria
Also listed under: 1 other name
Description: partial 16S ribosomal RNA
Rfam family: Bacterial small subunit ribosomal RNA
Source: RNAcentral